UGGGGAAUUUUGGACAAUGGGCGCAAGCCUGAUCCAGCAAUGCCGCGUGCAGGAUGAAGGCCUUCGGGUUGUAAACUGCUUUUGUACGAAACGAAAAGCCCUGGGUUAAUACCCUGGGGGUCAUGACGGUACCGUAAGAAUAAGCACCGGCUAACUACGUGCCAGCAGCCGCGGUAAUACGUAGGGUGCGAGCGUUAAUCGGAAUUACUGGGCGUAAAGCGUGCGCAGGCGGUUUUGUAAGACAGAGGUGAAAUCCCCCGGGCUCAACCUGGGAACUGCCUUUGUGACUGCAAGGCUAGAGUACGGCAGAGGGGGGAUGGAAUUCCGCGUGUAGCAGUGAAAUGCGUAGAUAUGCGGAGGAACACCGAUGGCGAAGGCAAUCCCCUGGCCUGUACUGACGCUCAUGCACGAAAGCGUGGGGAGCAAACAGGAUUAGAUACCCCUGGUAGUCCACGCCCCUAAAGCGAUGUCAACUGGUUGUUGGGUCUUAACUGACUCAGUAAACGAAGCUAACGCGUAAGUUGACCGCCUGGGGAGUACGGCCGCAAGGUUGAAACUCAAAUGAAUUGACGGGGGCUCAUAGCUGUUU
RNAcentral lists this ribosomal RNA (589 nucleotides) under uncultured bacterium. Its description in RNAcentral is "partial 16S ribosomal RNA". It matches the Rfam family "Bacterial small subunit ribosomal RNA", at positions 355 to 932 of the family's 1533-position model. The record is from RNAcentral.